Molecule: non-coding RNA, 73 nt
Organism: Paxillus rubicundulus Ve08.2h10
Lineage: Eukaryota; Fungi; Basidiomycota; Agaricomycetes; Boletales; Paxillaceae
Source: Rfam
GACCACAUAGCUCAGUGGUUAGAGCACCUGGUAUAAACCUAGGAGGUCACUGGUUCAAUCCCAGCGAUGGUUU